This 253-nucleotide ribosomal RNA is filed under the name uncultured bacterium. Its description in RNAcentral is "partial 16S ribosomal RNA". It matches the Rfam family "Bacterial small subunit ribosomal RNA", at positions 524 to 776 of the family's 1533-position model. The record is from RNAcentral.
GACGAAGGAUGCAAGCGUUAUCCGGAUUCAUUGGGUUUAAAGGGAGCGUAGGUGGCCUUGUAAGUCAGUGGUGAAAUCCUGUCGCUUAACGAUAGAAUUGCCAUUGAUACUGCAGGGCUUGAGUACAGUUGCCGUUGGCGGAAUAUGACAUGUAGUGGUGAAAUGCGCAGAUAUCAGGAGGAACACCGGUGGCGAAGGCGGGUCUCUGGGCCGAUACUGACGCUGAGGAGCGAAAGCGUGGGGAGCGAACAGG